CCAUGAAUCUGGUCUUGGGACACUGUCAGGUGGGCAGUUUGACUGGGGCGGUCGCCUCCCAAAAGGUAACGGAGGCGCUCAAAGGUUCUCUCAGUACGGUCGGAAAUCGUACGUAGAGUGUAAAGGCAAAAGAGAGCUUGAUUGCAAGACAUACAGGUCGAGCAAGGAUGAAAAUCGGACUUAGUGAUCCGGUGGUUCUGCGUGGAAGGGCCAUCGCUCAACGGAUAAAAGCUACCCUGGGGAUAACAGGCUUAUCUCCCCCAAGAGUCCACAUCGACGGGGAGGUUUGGCACCUCGAUGUCGGCUCAUCACAUCCUGGGGCGGUAGUAGGUCCCAAGGGUUGGGCUGUUCGCCCAUUAAAGUGGUACGCGAGCUGGGUUCAGAACGUCGUGAGACAGUUCGGUCCCUAUCCGUCGCAGGCGUAGGAAAUUUGAGAAGACCUGUCCGUAGUACGAGAGGACCGGGAUGGACGUACCUCUGGUGUACCAGUUGUCCUGCCAAGGGCAUGGCUGGGUAGCUAUGUACGGAAUGGAUAAGCGCUGAAAGCAUCUAAGCGCGAAGCCAACUUCAAGAU
Molecule: ribosomal RNA, 574 nt
Filed under: Clostridioides difficile
Lineage: Bacteria; Bacillati; Bacillota; Clostridia; Peptostreptococcales; Peptostreptococcaceae
Description: bacterial LSU rRNA
Rfam family: Bacterial large subunit ribosomal RNA
Source: RNAcentral